Anthonomus grandis grandis is the source of this 1271-nucleotide long non-coding RNA. RefSeq lists it as uncharacterized. The transcript has 3 exons. Lineage: Eukaryota; Metazoa; Arthropoda; Insecta; Coleoptera; Curculionidae. The record is from RefSeq and is a predicted model, not a curated record.
UUUUAUAAAUGCUCUUACAUUUCUAAAUACUUCUAGAAAAUUUAUUUUAUUUGCUGAUCACACGACUAUUAAAUAGAACUGUAGUGACUAGCAGGAUUUACCACAAGCUGUUCUGUCCGACCUUUAAAAGCUAAAAAUCUUGGUGUGACAAAAAUCCUCAUGUUCUGGCCUUCUUUAAGGUGUAAUCUGGGACAUCGUAUCGUCCAAAAUAUUUGCACUAAAGAGAAAAAAAUCCUAACUUUAUACAGCAUAUUUAUUUUAGAGAAUCGAUCUUACCUGACACAAAAUGUAUCAAUUCUUUUAUUGGCAAUUCAGCUUCAGUAAAAAGAUUAAUUGUUUAUGAGAGCAUAAAAUGAUAACGAUAUAAUUAUUGGCAAUGAUCUUAAAGUGCUUGUGCUUCUCUUAAACAAUUUAAAAUAGGGUUAAGUGUUUGCUCCUUUGUGGUGCCUAUUAUAGCCAGACCAUCCUGAAAACUAUUUGAAACAGCUGACUGCAUCAUCUGUACUUCUUCGUCAUCUUAAUAUCUAAAAAACGAAUUAACACCCCGUCAUUCUCGUAAUACAAACAUAACGGUGUCGCUCCCACAGUAGCAGGUGCCGAAGGACCUUUUGUCACAUUGCUCCGGUAAAUUCAGCACGGACAGGUAUUUGUUUACAUUCUUGGGGCCCGGUGAGGACAAGUGCAUAAAGUGCAAAGCAUCUCAGCCACAACAAUGAAUGUAUGUGUACACACCAGUUUAUUACGUCGCCGACAAUCGGGGCGGCAGGCCAAACUAAACUGUUGAAUGGAACUCAGUCACUGUAAGUGCAAAGGUGUAAACUUGUUGAUUAACGCGUGUUUGAUGGUAAUUUGGCCCAGUUUAUGAAGAGACAUUAGGGAAGUGGGUUUAGUUAGGUGUUUGGAAAAGACUUUAACAAAAGUGGGGUAACCCAGACGGCACCCAAUAUCUGUGGAAUAUGCCACCUAUUGACGAAACAUAUUGCAAUAUGCCUGGCAUAUUCCACGAAUAUGCCAAAUAUCGUAUAUGCAAAAGCCAUAUUCCUGGCAUAUUUUUAACAGAUGUUUGCAGGCAAACUGAAAAUUAGUUGAAGAUUUGGGUGCCGUUUAUUUAACUAAAGCAUCAGAGCUCUUUGACAGAAAAAUUCUUUCGGAUACAAACAGAACAUGUCCAGGACUAUUAUUAUGAUACUACUAUUUGUAUUGUAUUGUAAAUUAACAGUGUUAAUUACAUAUUGUAUUAAACUACUUUAAAUCUUGUAUUUUUAUUUUCC